Molecule: non-coding RNA, 530 nt
Organism: Microcebus murinus (gray mouse lemur)
Lineage: Eukaryota; Metazoa; Chordata; Mammalia; Primates; Cheirogaleidae
Source: RefSeq, a predicted model, not a curated record
GUGAGAUUCGGCUCCUCCCAACGCGUCUUGUGCCCUGAGAGCUUCUACCGUGGCAGGGGUGUGGGCUGCGGGCGGACUCUGAGGCUUGUAAGGUACAAGUGGACUUCACUUACUGGCCACUCUGCAUUCUGCUGACCUUAGAAAGAAGUGAGGACAUAUUUGAUGUCCUUUUAUUUAGCUAGAAACCAGAGGCGACCUUUGGAAAUACAAGGUCUUAACAGGAUGGGGAUGCUGUGACUUUGGCAUUUCCAUGAUUAGAAACACAGGAGGCAGUAGAAACAAGUAAAAUGGUAUCACAAGGAAGCCAACAGACACAUCCAACCUACAAGCCAACUGUCUGGGUAUCUUCAACAGGACAAAACGUGGCCUAGGUAGCUGCUUGCCCAAAUGAUGAGAGGCGUGGAGCAGACCUGAACCCAACAUAUACAUUCCAUGGAGCCAAGUCUAUCCUGCCCACAGCAGACCCUGCAGCAGAGGUAUGCAGCAGAACUCAGUCUGCAUCACCCAAACCAUAGUUGCCCUGAAGACUG